AUUGAACGCUGGCGGCAGGCCUAACACAUGCAAGUCGAACGAGUGGCGGACGGGUGAGUAAUGUCUGGGAAACUGCCUGAAGGAGGGGGAUAACUACUGGAAACGGUAGAUAAUAACGCAUACCAGCGGAGGUGCCCAGAAGGGAUUAGCUAGUAGGUGGGGUAACGGCUCACCUAGGCGACGAUCCCUAGCUGGUCUGAGAGGAGGACCAGCGACACUGAAACAGAUACACGGUGGAGAAACAGACGGGAGGCAGGAGUGGGGAAUAGUGCACAAGGGGAGCAAGCCUGAUGCAGCCAUGCCGCGUGUAUAAAGAAGGCAUUCGGGAUGUAAAGUACUUUCAGCGGGGAGGCGUAACCCGCAGAAGAAGCACCGGCUAACUCCGUGCCAGCCGCCGCGGUAAUUC
Molecule: ribosomal RNA, 406 nt
Filed under: uncultured bacterium
Lineage: Bacteria
Description: partial 16S ribosomal RNA
Rfam family: Bacterial small subunit ribosomal RNA
Source: RNAcentral